AUACGGAGGAUCCGAGCGUUAUCCGGAUUUAUUGGGUUUAAAGGGAGCGUAGGUGGGAUAUUAAGUCAGCUGUGAAAGUUUGGGGCUCAACCUUAAAAUUGCAGUUGAUACUGGUUUCCUUGAGUACGGUACAGGUGGGCGGAAUUCGUGGUGUAGCGGUGAAAUGCUUAGAUAUCACGAAGAACUCCGAUCGCGAAGGCAGCUCACCGGGCCGGAACUGACACUGAUGCUCGAAAGUGCGGGUAUCAAACAGGAUUAGAUACCCUGGUAGUCCGCACAGUAAACGAUGAAUACUCGCUGUUUGCGAUACACGGUAAGCGGCCAAGCGAAAGCAUUAAGUAUUCCACCUGGGGAGUACGCCGGCAACGGUGAAACUCAAAGGAAUUGACGGGG
This 393-nucleotide ribosomal RNA is filed under the name uncultured bacterium. RNAcentral's name for it is "partial 16S ribosomal RNA". It matches the Rfam family "Bacterial small subunit ribosomal RNA", at positions 523 to 918 of the family's 1533-position model. The record is from RNAcentral.